Molecule: non-coding RNA, 198 nt
Filed under: Corynebacterium matruchotii
Lineage: Bacteria; Bacillati; Actinomycetota; Actinomycetes; Mycobacteriales; Corynebacteriaceae
Also listed under: 1 other name
Source: RNAcentral
CGCACUCAGAAGCGAGUUGGUGAAGCCAUAAGUGUGUGUACGGCUUCAUGGGAAUCCGGUGCAAAACCGGAACUGGCGCGCAGCGGUGAGUGGGGACUGACCCCUGAACAAGUCCACUGGCUACUCCAAGCUGGGAAGGCAUAGGGGGCUCCGGGAUGAUCCACAAGUCCGAAGACCGACCAACUCUGACCAUCAUUG